GUCUACCACAUCCUAUUCUUUCUCCAUUAACUUAUCUCCAUUAUUAGUUUCCUUCCUAUUACAGGACACCAUCUCCACUUCCUCAAGAUCAAUGUCACCCAAAUCAAAUCCUAAAUCAUCACCAUCGCAUCCUCCUAGAAAACCUUAUUUCCUUCUAUUAGUUUAUGCUUCCAUCGUCUUCGCACAUAUCAAGCCCUCCACCACUUUUUGUUCAUCUUCUUGUUCAGGUUCGAAUUCCUUCAAAUGUCCGGUUUCGAAUUUGUUUUUAUCAUGUCACCAAACCUAUACUCUAUGUCUUCGAUGAAAAUCCCAUAUGAACCAGUUAUAUGUAUGUAUGUUCGUUUUGAUUUUGUUCUUGAUGCAGAUUAGUGUUGUUUUAAUGUCAUGCCAGUUUCGAAGGAUUAUUUUAGGCAUUCUCAUAUAUAAAACGAUUUUAUUGUACAAAAUAGACAAAAUUGCAAAAGUGGUCCUAAUGGUUUGUCAAUUUCUAUGGGUAAGUUCCAAAAAAAAGUUUAUUAGCAAAAGAGGUCCCUAAUUGAUGGUUUUGUUAUGGUUUUGGUCCCUACUUCGUUAAGUUUAACAGCAUGACUGUUAACUUUUGGAAAAUGAUAGAUUUACCCUUGAGACUAUUUCUGCAGUUUUAUCUUUUUACCAAACUACAAGGACCAAUUAUGCAAUUUUUCUUUUUCAUUUUAUUGAAUUAUUAAAUAAUUGAAUUACUUUUUUCUUUUUAACUUUUUACUUAGUGUAUUAUUUUUAUUGGAUUAUUAUAUAUUAAUAAAUAUUAUUUUUUAAUAUAUUAUACUUAUAUAUUAAUAAAUAUUAAUUGUUUUAAUAAUUUUUUUUGAAUUUCUUCUUUAUUGCAUUAAUUCUUUUUUGUUGGAUUAUUAUAUAUUAAUAAAUAUUAUUUUUAACAUAUAAUAUUAUAUUUAUCUAUUACUAAGUGUUACUUUAUUGGAUUAUUAAAUUAAUUUAAUUAAAUUUUAUAAAUUUUUUUAUUUCGUUAUUUGUUUUGAUUGGAUUAUUAUAUAUUAAUAAAUAUUAUUUUUAACAUAUAAUAUUAUAUUUAUCUAUUACUAAGUGUUACUUUAUUGGAUUAUUAAUUUAAAUUAUUAUUUUUAUUUAUAAUAAAUAAUAUUUUUUAAUUGUUUUUUAUUUUUUUUAAAAUUUCUUUCUUUAUUGUUUCAAAUAAAAAUACCAAAAAAUCAUACCCACCCCACAUUCUCUAAUUUAUUUUAAAUAUUUGGAAGAUAACAUAUUUUGGACAACACCACCACCAUUGCUCAGUCACAACAAACCAUUAUCGGGCCGUCUCCAACCCUGUUAAUAUAUAUAUAUAUAAGUUCAAUAAUUAUUCAUGAAGUGAGAUCAUCAUGUGUAUUUUAGUUUUUGUGUAUUCACAUAUAUCUAAAUUUGUUAUUUAUUUCAAUAAACUUAUGAUUUUGACAUAUAUAAUUUACCUAAAAAUAUUUCUACAUGAAUUACCAAAUAUGAGUAUUCGCUACUCGGCGGUCGACCGAACGAGUACCACAUAACGAGUUCUACAACUUUGUCACCACCUAUAGUGGCUAUGGUGGUUUGAAAACCCUCGAUCUAACAUUGUCGUCGUCGAUGGUGGUAUCUGUAACGAAUGGUCGGCUGGAGGAAGUAUGUUUUCUGGGGUUUAUUUCACAUUGUGUGGGUAGUCAACUGGUGUAGUUUUCAUCGAGAAUGGUCAACUGUAGUCGAUGAUCGAUGAUUUCCAGCGAGAUUAAAAUAAAAUAAAAACAAUAAAAUAAAUAUUACUUAUCAUAAAUAAAAAUAAUAAUUUUAAAUUAAUAAUCCAAUGAAAAGAACUAAUGCAAUAAAAAAUAAAAAAUAAUAAUUAAAUGAAAUUAAUAAUCCAAUAAUGUAACUGUAACAUCCCAAAUUUCAAGGCCAAAAAUUUCAUUUUUAAUUAUGUGAUUUAUAAAAUAGUUUAUCAAAACAUUGCCAAAAUCAUGUCAAUACAUAAAACCAUAGUAUCAUGUCUCAAAACCAUAUUAGCUAAAGGAAAUAAAUAUCAGAGUACAAUCUCAGAAAACUCUAAGCAGAAAUCAUGUGUGCGUGUGUGAUGCGCUGCUACCCCGCCAGCUCCNNNNNNNNNNNNNNNNNNNNNNNNCCAGCCUUUCCCUUGGACGAAAAGGUACCUGAAACCAAAACUGAAACUGUAAGCACAAAGCUUAGUGAGUCCCCCCAUCAUACCACAUACUAUACAAUCACAUAGCAUACAUACUAUCGGGCAGUUUUGGGGCGCCCGUCCUACCCAUGUCAAGCCAUUUUGGGGUGCUGACCUACCCAUCUCGAGCUAUUCUGGGGUGCUGACCUAUCCAUGUCAAGUCAUUCUAGGGUGCUGACCAACCCAUGUCAAGCUAUUCUGGGGUGCUGACCUACCCAUGUCAAGCUAUUAUGGGGUGCUGACCUACCUUCUGGUCUGUCUCAACCGAACACGGGGACUAUUUCAUCCCCUAGCAAGAACUCGACGGGUUCUCCUUCAUUCAAACCAUCAGAACCAUCUUCAUCUGACUCACCGAGUUCUUCCUUGAACUCGACGAGCUCAUCUCCCUCAUAAGAAUCUGUCCGGUCUACGACUCGCCGAGUUGUAUGAACAACUCGUCGAGUCCAUCUUCAAAAGUUGGGAGAUUGCCUUGGACUCGCCGAGUCUAUUCAUACACUCGCCGAGUCCUAUGAUUUCCAGGUCCCUUUACGAGUCUAAACAUCUAAGGGACUUUCCUCCCUAACAGUUGGUCCGUCCUCAGAAAGGAUUUGGUGGUCAUUACACUGCGACUCACCGAGUCCCAAGAACAACUCGUCGAGUCAAUCCAUGACCAACACUAUACAGUCGAUUUUAAUGGUCCUUAACACCACAAAACCAUAGAUCUGGCCCCCUAAUGUCCAUUUAAUACGUAAAGCUCCAAACUUAGUGUAUAUGCAUGGGGGUUUUGGCUCAAAAAGCCAUAAAAAAUGAUCUACAAGAUGCAUGGGGCUCUCAUGGCCAUAAAGUUGGCACCUUUAUGCCAUGAGACCCUUCCAAUGACUCAGAUCUGAAGUCAAUACCUCAUAUGAUACUCCACAAAUCCGAAUAUGGCUUGGAAAGCCCUAAAUAUGCCCAAAACCUAAGUCUAAGGAUGAAUACACAUAUAGAAGACCAAGACAGGGACAUUUUACCUUGAUUGUGCUGAAAAUGGAACUAGAUCUCUGAAUCUCUAAGCCCCAACUCGAACUCUCAAGCUUCUUCUUCUUCUUCAAGCUUCACAAACCUCCAAAUGCACCAAAAUGGCCUUGGAACACACAAAAACGGUUAGGGUUUCGAUACACAGCUUUCUGGGAGUGAUAAGGGUGAUGGAGGUUGAGAUAAGGUGUUUAAAUAGGAUGCAGACCCUCAGAUUUAGGGUUUCACUCAACCAGCACCUACUCGUCGAGUCAGUCUCCCGAUUCAUCGAGUAGGUCACUUAAACUGUCUGCGGGUCACGACUCUACUCGACGAGUUGGGCCACCAACUCGUCNNNNNNNNNNNNNNNNNNNNNNNNNNNNNNNNNNNNNNCAUACCAGGAUUAGGUGUUACAGUAACACUUACUAAUAGAUAAAUAUUAUAUGCUAAAAAUAAUAUUUGCUAAUAUAUAAUAAUCCAAUAAAAAAGAAUUAAUACAAUAAAGAAGAAAUUAAAAAAAUCAAUUAACAAAAUAAAAAUAAAAAAGUAAUAUUUAUUAAUAUAUAAUAAUCCAAUAAAAAAGAAUUAAUACAAUAAAGAAGAAAUUAAAAAAAUCAAUUAACAAAAUAAAAAUAAAAAAGUAAUAUUUAUUAAUAUAUAAUAAUCCAAUAAAAAAGAAUUAAUACAAUAAAGAAGAAAUUAAAAAAAUCAAUUAACAAAAUAAAAAUAAAAAAGUAAUAUUUAUUAAUAUAUAAUAAUCCAAUAAAAAAGAAUUAAUACAAUAAAGAAGAAAUUAAAAAAAUCAAUUAACAAAAUAAAAAUAAAAAAGUAAUAUUUAUUAAUAUAUAAUAAUCC
RNAcentral lists this long non-coding RNA (4024 nucleotides) under Lactuca sativa (garden lettuce). RNAcentral describes it as "long non-coding RNA (LSAT_LNC007658)". The record is from RNAcentral. Lineage: Eukaryota; Viridiplantae; Streptophyta; Magnoliopsida; Asterales; Asteraceae.